GGAGAGGUGUCCGAGUGGCUGAAGGAGCACGCUUGGAAAGCGUGUGUGCGGGGUGACUCGUACCGUGGGUUCAAAUCCCAUCCUCUCCGCCA
RNAcentral lists this transfer RNA (92 nucleotides) under Candidatus Saccharimonadota bacterium. RNAcentral's name for it is "Candidatus Saccharibacteria bacterium tRNA-Ser". It matches the Rfam family "tRNA". From Rfam's summary of the family: Transfer RNA (tRNA) molecules are approximately 80 nucleotides in length. Lineage: Bacteria; Candidatus Saccharimonadota. The record is from RNAcentral.